UACGUAGGGCGCAAGCGUUGUCCGGAAUUAUUGGGCGUAAAGAGCUCGUAGGCGGCUUGUCACGUCGGGUGUGAAAGCCCGGGGCUUAACCCCGGGUCUGCAUUCGAUACGGGCUAGCUAGAGUGUGGUAGGGGAGAUCGGAAUUCCUGGUGUAGCGGUGAAAUGCGCAGAUAUCAGGAGGAACACCGGUGGCGAAGGCGGAUCUCUGGGCCAUUACUGACGCUGAUGCGCGAAAGCUAGGGGAGCAAACAGG
Molecule: ribosomal RNA, 253 nt
Filed under: uncultured bacterium
Lineage: Bacteria
Description: partial 16S ribosomal RNA
Rfam family: Bacterial small subunit ribosomal RNA
Source: RNAcentral